This 66-nucleotide transfer RNA is filed under the name Paramphistomum leydeni. RNAcentral's name for it is "tRNA-Ala". The record is from RNAcentral. Lineage: Eukaryota; Metazoa; Platyhelminthes; Trematoda; Plagiorchiida; Paramphistomidae.
AACGACAUAUUUUAUGAAGAUUGUGUGCUCUGCAAGUAUGAGGUGGGUGGUUAGCCCUGUCGUUGC